This 585-nucleotide ribosomal RNA is filed under the name uncultured bacterium. Its description in RNAcentral is "partial 16S ribosomal RNA". It matches the Rfam family "Bacterial small subunit ribosomal RNA", at positions 355 to 1375 of the family's 1533-position model. The record is from RNAcentral.
UGGGGAAUUUUGGACAAUGGGCGAAAGCCUGAUCCAGCAAUGCCGCGUGUGUGAAGAAGGCCUUCGGGUUGUAAAGCACUUUUGUCCGGAAAGAAAUCCUUGGCUCUAAUACAGUCGGGGGAUGACGGUACUGGAAGAAUAAGCACCGGCUAACUACGUGCCAGCAGCCGCGGUAAUACGUAGGGUGCAAGCGUUAAUCGGAAUUACUGGGCGUAAAGCGUGCGCAGGCGGUUUGCUAAGACCGAUGUGAAAUCCCCGGGCUCAACCUGGGAACUGCAUUGGUGACUGGCAGGCUAGAGUAUGGCAGAGGGGGGUAGAAUUCCACGUGUAGCAGUGAAAUGCGUAGAGAUGUGGAGGAAUACCGAUGGCGAAGGCAGCCCCCUGGGCCAAUACUGACGCUCAUGCACGAAAGCGUGGGGAGCAAACAGGAUUAGAUACCCUGGUAGUCCACGCCCUAAACGAUGUCAACUAGUUGUUGGGGAUUCAUUUCCUUAGUAACGUAGCUAACGCGUGAAGUUGACCGCCUGGGGAGUGCGGUCGCAAGAUUAAAACUCAAAGGAAUUGACGGGGUCAUAGCUGUUUCCU